CUUCCUUAUUAUUUUACUUGUAACAAUUUGUUAAUGUUUUUUACACGCCCAUUGUGGAAACCAGGUUCUGCUGACAAUGUUAGCGUGGUUAAAUAAAGUUUAUCAUCAUCAUCAUCAGAAAUCACAAGACAAAAAAAAAUUCCGCUCAGCGCGCAAAAUUUCUCCUUUUGCAUAAUUAGCGUCUACAGGACAUGAUAUUCUAUCUUUGCCGUGUUGCGCGCGAAGUAGUUAGAAAGUCUAGACAGUUUAGAAAUUGCGAAGCCGCGCAAUACACUCAUCGUACACAAAAUGUAGAGUAUUUUUCACAGGAAAACAUAAUCUGUUUUCCUGUAAAAAUACUUUGUUUAAAUGAAAAGGCUUACCAACAUUGCGAAACAAAAUGGCGA
This is a non-coding RNA of Paramuricea clavata, 386 nucleotides long. NCBI's taxonomy places the organism in Eukaryota, Metazoa, Cnidaria, Anthozoa, Malacalcyonacea, Plexauridae. The record is from the annotation of a GenBank genome assembly.